AGAAGCCCAUUUGUCAUCAGCGGCAGCAUGGCAAUGUUGACCAUAUCUCUUCUGCUCUGUGCGGCCGUUGCUCUGAGUAGCGCAGCAGGCAAGACACACAGUAAGACACACAUUCUUGUUUCAGAACCUUUAUUGGAGGGAAACAUGGAGCAAACCCCCCCUAUUGUGAGGAUAUGGAUGAUGAGGGAAACACCUUUAAACAGAACCCACCUCUUGAAAGCCUUGAGGAGAUGAUGGACUUUGAGCAGACAUUGCCUCUGCAACAAUUAUGGAUUGGCCAAAUUCAAAACAGGUGCAGACUUGGUAAAUGCACACACCAAGUCAAGGGGUUGUGGCUUUCUCCAGCAAAGGAUUUGAAAUAAGACCUAACAAAAAUAAAUUAAACAUCCGAAAAAUGUCAUCAUCAAGAAAGUAAUCAAAAAAGUCAUCAUCAAGUGUCUUGCCUGCUGCACCACUCAGACCAAAGGCAGCAGAGAGCAGAAGAGAAAUGGUUGACAUCGCCAUGGGGAUGAUGGGGUCCUAAAUACUAGAUAGACAGUCAGGGGAAAAUAAUGGCAGAAACAAUCAGAAUUCAGUGAAAAAAAUAAAAUAACAGCAAAGUAAA
Molecule: long non-coding RNA, 604 nt
Organism: Oncorhynchus keta (chum salmon)
Lineage: Eukaryota; Metazoa; Chordata; Actinopteri; Salmoniformes; Salmonidae
Exons: 5
Source: RefSeq, a predicted model, not a curated record